This is a long non-coding RNA of Stylophora pistillata, 724 nucleotides long. The record is from RefSeq and is a predicted model, not a curated record. NCBI's taxonomy places the organism in Eukaryota, Metazoa, Cnidaria, Anthozoa, Scleractinia, Pocilloporidae.
UUUCCUGAACAACAACAACAUAAAGAACUUCUCCUCUGACCAACUACCCCCUGUAUACUCGGGGAGGAGAUACCUUGAAAACCUAACUCUGGACUUCAACAAACUGGAGACUCUUCCAAGUGAUCUCUUCAAGGGCUACAGGCUAAAUGAUCUGUGGCUGGGAAAUAACAACUUAAAGAACUUAUCUGAAGAUUUCUUCGCUGAGCAAUAUUGGUUAAAAUAUUUGUGAGUAGCAAUUAUUUGGCACCUUUUUGAACAAACAUUAGAGAAGUAAUUCAGUUUUCUCUCUUUUGUUUCUGACGGGAUAGCAUAUGUCAGCAGCGUGAACAUGAUCUCAUUUGAAAAAGUUUAGUUUUCAAUCCAAAGUGUAAUCAUUCAAAAGCGUAACGUUUUCAGAUUUAAGUAGGUCGUAUGUGUGCUGGUGGUACCGAGUAGUUACAUGUUUGUGCGUGCGCAUUUCUGGGUGCUUGUGCGAGUGUGCUGAUUACAAUGGUUGUGCAACACAUUUAUAAGUAUCUAAACGUGACCAGCACUACAGAAAUGAAAAACAGUUCAGCCUGGAAAUCUCGAACAAGUUACACAGUCAGAUCAUUUGAAAGGGACAACACCGAUGUAUCCUUCGGGCUCAAGUAUCUUAUUAAGAGUCGAUGAAGACGACAAACAAAGAUGUUAAACACAAUGGUUCUAUCAAUAAAUUGUCCAUUGCAAAAAGGAAAUUUGGACA